This 1020-nucleotide long non-coding RNA is filed under the name Danio rerio (zebrafish). RNAcentral's name for it is "si:ch211-207c6.5 (ENSDARG00000093054.4)". Lineage: Eukaryota; Metazoa; Chordata; Actinopteri; Cypriniformes; Danionidae. The record is from RNAcentral.
AGGCAAAGGAUGUUCACGGAUAUAACUGAAGACGCGGGUGGUGAGGGAGGUGUCGUGGACAGAUCUGAGGUCGCGGGUGGUAAGGAAGGUGUCGCGGGCAUACUGGGGACGCGGGUUGUGACGGAGGUGUCGCGGACGCCACCCUCUCUAUUCAGCAGCCUCGGUCACCUUUAUGGACGCGCCGGCCCUGCCUUGAGGCUGCUGCUGCAUGUCUUUGCGGCUCGCGUGAUGGUUAAUUCCGGUUUAGUUCAUAUUUGUGAAGAGAAUGUGAGUGCAUAAUGUCACUGUGUCGUGUCUGAAGAGCUCAUCUGGAAUCCCUAAAGGAGAGACCUUAACAUCUUUACUUUCAGCAGAGUUUUCUUGAAAAUAAAUCCUGGAAGAUGGUCAUAGGCUGAGAUGAAAGGGACUCUUCUAAGACCUCGGAUGUUCUAAAUGACUUUAAUCCUUGGAAAAUGUGAGCUUUGUCCAAAGACACUGAACAUUUGAUUGCUGAAAUUGGCAUACAGAGAGGUAAUGAACAUACACAUGGAGUCCUGCUUUUUGCAGUUCUCAACAUCACAACAUUCCUCCAUGACUGAUGGAAUUUUUGAUUCAUGCUCUUCUCUUUAAUAAAAAAUGACAAUAGCCUUGUUCCCUGGGUCUAGCUAUACCAUUUUUACAUUCUGAAAUGUUUUACUUAUGAGGUUAUUUUUAUAAGGUAAUUUUAAUGAAGUACUGAUAUUGUAUGUUUAUACGCUCACAAGAAAUUUGUAUGUUCUUUGUAAUUUUGUUUUUGGAUGUGCAUUUUUACCAAAGCUGCAGGCCUGUUUGUUUCAGAUUCCCUGUUUAUUGGUUUAAGAAGUAAUAGUAAAUGCAGAAAAUAACAAAGGGAAGCGAUUAUACAAAUAUAAAUUCAUGAAAUACUAACUUUUCAUUCUGUGACAUUUAUUUUUGUUACCUGUUUCAAUUUCAGUGCUUAUAGUUUUCUUCUUUUGUAAUAACUUAGUGAAUAUAAUGUUAAAAAAAUAAAUGGCUUUGUGC